This 373-nucleotide ribosomal RNA is filed under the name uncultured organism. Its description in RNAcentral is "partial 16S ribosomal RNA". It matches the Rfam family "Bacterial small subunit ribosomal RNA", at positions 527 to 896 of the family's 1533-position model. The record is from RNAcentral.
GGAGGGUGCGAGCGUUAAUCGGAAUUACUGGGCGUAAAGCGCGCGUAGGCGGCUUGGUCAGUCGGAUGUGAAAGCCCCGGGCUUAACCUGGGAAUUGCAUUCGAUACUGCCAGACUAGAGUAUGGGAGAGGGAAGCGGAAUUUCCGGUGUAGCGGUGAAAUGCGUAGAUAUCGGAAGGAACACCAGUGGCGAAGGCGGCUUCCUGGCCCAAUACUGACGCUGAGGUGCGAAAGCGUGGGGAGCAAACAGGGGAUUAGAUACCCGUGGUAGUCCACGCCGUAAACGAUGAGAACUAGAUGUCGGGAGGAUUUGCCUCUCGGUGUCGCAGCUAACGCGUUAAGUUCUCCGCCUGGGGAUACGCCGGCAAACGGUA